GUAGGAGCAAGAGGACAGCGGCCUGCCAACAGGUUGUUCCAGGCGGUAGGCGGCUUUGGGGUCGCCCCAGGAGUCCAGCUGAGAGAGACCAAUGGGAUUUGAAAAUGGCCUUGAUGAUUCAGACGGCCGUGACGUCAGCGGGGUCAAGUUGUCGGCAGGCGGAGCGCUCAGCAUGGAGUAACAGCGCCACCUAGCAGCUGCCUCGGGGGAAUAUUUCUGAAGAAAAAGACCGAACCUGCAGGGACUUUGAUCGGAUUCGGGGAGUCGCAUAUCAACACGAAAAAUGAGGACAUCGGACGUAACCAAAUCCGACCCAGAGCCAUUGGGCUGGAAGCAUUUUUAUUUUUUUUUAAAGGAGAAGUGAGGCCGGUCUGUUUUUGUUAUUGUUGUUAUUGUUUAAUAAAGGGAAGGAAAAAAAGGGAAAUACAUGUUUCAAAUAGUUCUUUCCGUUUCUCCAUCGCUUUUCUCCCAAAGCGAACAAAACUCUCCACCCCUUCCUCAGGAAACGGAAUCAGGAGAAUAACUUGUCUUUCCGGUAGCCCCGCAUUUUUCUCUGGACAGAGCCUGGGGUUUCGACUUUCCGAAGUGCUGAAGCCAAGCCGGGAAAGGACCCUAACGCCGAGCGCCCUGGCGUGGUCGAGUAAGGAGGCUGGACCGCUUCUAGGGAGGCCCAAGCCAGCGCGGCCAGAAGAGGACUGUGGAAAAAAAUCUGCUGAAUUCCCUCACCCACGGACUGAAAGACAAGGCGCAGGGGUCCCUGAACCCCCAGAAAAUUGGAAGGAGAUAUGGAGUGUGUGACUUGCUUGCAGAACGGACAGGGGAGAUUUGAAAUUAGUUUUGUGUUUUCAUUUGCAGGGGUCGCCUGGCCUCAGCAUGGGGGUUGUCCCGGGCAAGGUUAGGCUGUUUAGGCCCCAGACCAGACUUGGGACAGCCUGGGCAGUAGUCAAUCCAGGGAGCCAUUUGUCCCACCGCCCAUCCCCGGGGAAACAGCCCAGACUUUAUGGCCACUCUGUUUGUAUUAUCUGCAUAAGUCUUUCCCCACCAGUUUGAUCGAAACCGUUCCCUUUUACGAGGACCCAACGAAAAUUUCCCGUCAUAUUUAUCAGCUGAGGAUAAAAAUUUAGUAUGGGAACUGAUAUUUCCUCAUUUAUGGGACGAUGAAAUUAAAGACCAAAGCAAUUGAGAAUUAUAUGGCUUUGGGGGGUUCCCUCCCCCCUCUUUCAUGUCUCCUUUAUUUUCCUGCCUGGUUUGUCUGUCCCUGGAGUUUGUUUUCCCAAUCCCCUGCCCUUGUCCCCUGUUUUGGAGUCUAAUGGUCCCUUCCCCCUGACCAGGUGCUGCCUAGCUACCUAAGAUUUUUCUGGCCUUUUUCUCUGUGUUAGUGGCUGAGGGCUGGAGCAGCACUCUCUCUCCGAUCCCCUACCCAGGCCAGGCUGGGACUGAUGGAAGGUGAUGAGGGAAGAGCCUCCAAGAUGAAUCCAAGCCCAGCCUGGGAGGGGAUGGUAGGAGUCCCAGAAGAGGGUGAAAGAGAUAAAUUCUCAAAAACAAGUCCCCAGGCAAAAGCUGAAGAGCCGGCAGGAGAGGAACAAAAUCACUGGGCCUCCAGUCUCUCUCCCCCUUACCAGCCUGACCCCCAUCCCAAAUCUACCACCUACCUCAGCCAGGGGAAGGGAUAGAGUUGCUUCAGAAUCCUUGCUAUUAUUAAUGGAAAUAAUACCCUUGGGAGAAAGCCUCCCACCUCCUCACAAGAACGGAUAGUGUUUAAAGUUGAAAUAAUUAGAAGUAUGAUAAACACGGCCCAUUAAUGGAAAAAGAAAUCAAAUUCAUCAGCUUAAGUGGGACCCCCGGUGGGACAAAUGUUUGCCUCUAAUUACUCAAGAUAAACGAAAACCCAGAGCCGUUAAACAAGAGCCCGCUCUUGCUCGGACAGUCACAGACUUGAAUAACUUGUUGGGUUUUUGCAGACUUUGGGAUUCUACCUCAGUGAAGGUAAAAGGAAGAAAGAAGUAAGAAAGAGUGGGCCAGGCGAAAAGAGUAUUUGUGUGGCUCCAAAGAAGUCCAGCCUGGUCUGGUUCCCAGCCCUGCCCCCUUGGGCUCCGUCUUUCCCGAGGCCAUGAGCAAAGGCAGUUUCCAUCCUAUUGUCUGGGCCUGGCGUUCAAAGGCAUGCUGGCCACCACAGUCACCCCGCCUGCCACUACUGCCAGGUGCCCACCAGCUCUGCUCACAGGACCAAGACUCUCAGCCUGCACCCUUGGCAACUGGAUUGGGGCUUAGGAGAAGUCUGUGUCACCCCUGUACCAAUUCUUAUUAAGCCACUCUCCAACUUCCCGAGAUUGCGGAGAGACCUGCACCUAAGACUGACUCUGGGAUUCUUCUUACCUCAGCUUGGGGACCCAAAUAUCCAUGGCUGCAGGCCAGAGUUGGGGCUCAGGCUCUGCAUGUUCUGGACAAAUCUCACCCGCCCCAGAAGCCCUGGCAUCUUUUGCUCUUCGUGCCUGGUACCCAGACUCUGAAGGGGCAGCAAGGACGGGCCUGGGCCUCCUGCCGGCUGAGGGUUUCUGAGUAAGGGAGACAAGGAGGGUUUCCAGAGCUCCUGGCAUGCUCCAGGAGGAUCCAGUGGUUCCACAUAGCAGGCCAAGGGCUGAGGCAUGAGGGGUCCCCAUUAAAAGCAGAAGAAAGUGUCGUACUCAACGGACAGAAAGGAAAUUCGGCUGUUUUCCGGGCCGUAGCCCUCAGGUCACCCCAGAAGCACCAUGAUUUCUCCAGUGAAAAUUGUCUGUUUCCCCAAGUGUUUAAGGAAGUCAUCUGGGAAAUUUUAGA
Urocitellus parryii (Arctic ground squirrel) is the source of this 2817-nucleotide long non-coding RNA. RefSeq lists it as uncharacterized. The record is from RefSeq and is a predicted model, not a curated record. Lineage: Eukaryota; Metazoa; Chordata; Mammalia; Rodentia; Sciuridae.